UUUCUUAAGGGCACUUUCCCUGUCUGAAAUAAUUGAAAAAUAAAUUGUUACAUUGGUAUUAUGGUAAUAAAAUUGUUUGAAAAGCCCCAAGGCCCAUUUACUUUUUUUCAAAAAUUGACACUUAGAUGUGGCAAGUGUGUCAAAUGAAGAAACUACCAAAAUGAUAAUAACAUCUAAGGAAUUCUGCUCCAGUAGCCAUUCAACUGAUAUUAUUCAUUGACAAAGCACCUCCUCCUAUUAGAGCAAAGGACCCUCUUGCUUACCUGGAUUCUGGUCUUGAAGAAAUUCUCUUCCUUCCCGCCACAGCUCUUUUCCUUGCUCCAGCUGCAAAAUUAU
This 336-nucleotide long non-coding RNA is filed under the name Pan troglodytes (chimpanzee). RNAcentral describes it as "long non-coding RNA NONPTRT012402". The record is from RNAcentral. Lineage: Eukaryota; Metazoa; Chordata; Mammalia; Primates; Hominidae.